UACCACAUUGGGGGCUUUUGAUUUUGACAUGGAAAAUGUGGAUAGAAAGGAAAAACCUUCUUUAGAAGAGUUCUAUUGUGAGUAUGAUGGGAAGAAACCGGUAUGUUGAUAACAAUUUACUUUUCGAGUUCGCAAGACUAUACUAAAUUUAGAUGGCAGAAUAGCUUCUUCCCUAUUCCUUACAAGUGUUAUGGGAAUACAUUGCACCUUUAAGAAGGUUACUUUUACUCAGUAUUCUUGUCAUUAGGAGCUUUCUUUAAGUAAUGUUCACAUUGUCAGAUGUUGAACCAUGUAACAGAUUUUGUUUAACGGCCUGGCUGACACUUGGCCAGCAAAGCAUACAUGGACAACAGACCAGUUACUGGUGAGCUAUGGUGAUACAUCAUUCAAGAUUUAUCAGAGAAGUUCGAGUAAAACAUCGAUGAAAUUCAAAGAUUAUGUCUCAUACAUGAAACUGCAACAUGAUGAGGAUCCCCUAUAUAUUUUUGAUGACAAGAUUUAAUUUUUGGGCAGUUUGGGGAAGUAGCACCAGGCUUGUUGAAGGAUUAUAAUGUGCCACAUCUUUUGGAAGAAGGCUUUUUUGAUGUCUUAGACAGAGAUCAACGACCUCCAUUUAGAUGUCUCAUUAUUGGACCAGAGAGGUCUGGUGCCUCAUGGCAUGUUGAUCCAGCUCUUACCAGUGCUCGGAAUACCCUUUUAUGCGGUCGUAAAAGAUGGGCAUUGUACCCUCCUGGAAGAGUACCUUUAGGUGUAAUGGUUCAUGUAAAUGAAGAAGAUGGUGAGGUCGUUAUUGAUACCCCAACUUCA
Molecule: long non-coding RNA, 807 nt
Organism: Humulus lupulus (European hop)
Lineage: Eukaryota; Viridiplantae; Streptophyta; Magnoliopsida; Rosales; Cannabaceae
Exons: 3
Source: RefSeq, a predicted model, not a curated record